RNAcentral lists this long non-coding RNA (232 nucleotides) under Pan troglodytes (chimpanzee). Its description in RNAcentral is "long non-coding RNA NONPTRT016299". Lineage: Eukaryota; Metazoa; Chordata; Mammalia; Primates; Hominidae. The record is from RNAcentral.
UUUGGUUUUAUUCUAAGUUGAAGUUAAUCAUUUAAUAUAAGGAAGCUCGGGGCCUCUAAUGUAUUACUUUAAACUCCUAGUUUCUCUAGCUUCCUCAGGUCUCUGCUCUUGCAAACUAUCCUUCACCUGCCUCUAGAACUUUUUACUUUUUGAACUUUACUUUUUACCCUAAAAGCCACCCCAUGCAUCUACAGAAUUUGGUGCAUGCUCCUUAGUGGGCCUGGGAGAGAAG